AGAGCGAACGCUGGCGGCAGGCCUAACACAUGCAAGUCGAGCGGCCGUAGUAAUACGGCAGCGGCAGACGGGAGAGUAACACGUGGGAACGCGCCCUUCGGUUCGGAAUAACUCAGGGAAACUUGAGCUAAUACCGAAUACGCCCUUACGGGGAAAGAUUUAUUGCCGAAGGAACGGCCCGCGUCCGAUUAGCUAGUUGGUGAGGUAAUGGCUCACCAAGGCGACGAUCGGUAGCUGGUCUGAGAGGAUGACCAGCCUCACUGGGACUGAGACACGGCCCAGACUCCUACGGGAGGCAGCAGUGGGGAAUAUUGGACAAUGGGCGCAAGCCUGAUCCAGCCAUGCCGCGUGGAUGAUGAAGGCCUUAGGGUUGUAAAGUCCUUUUAACGGGGAGAUAAUGACGGUACCGUAGAAUAAGCCCCGGCUAACUUCGUGCCAGCAGCCGC
This 446-nucleotide ribosomal RNA is filed under the name uncultured bacterium. RNAcentral describes it as "SSU rRNA". It matches the Rfam family "Bacterial small subunit ribosomal RNA", at positions 26 to 518 of the family's 1533-position model. The record is from RNAcentral.